This 466-nucleotide ribosomal RNA is filed under the name uncultured bacterium. RNAcentral describes it as "partial 16S ribosomal RNA". It matches the Rfam family "Bacterial small subunit ribosomal RNA", at positions 28 to 507 of the family's 1533-position model. The record is from RNAcentral.
GACGAACGCUGGCGGCGUGCUUAACACAUGCAAGUCGAACGGAAAGGCCUCUUUCGGGGGGUACUCGAGUGGCGAACGGGUGAGUAACACGUGAGUAACCUGCCCUUGACUUUGGGAUAACUUCAGGAAACUGGGGCUAAUACCGGAUAGGAGCUCCUGCUGCAUGGUGGGGGUUGGAAAGUUUCGGCGGUUGGGGAUGGGCUCGCGGCUUAUCAGCUUGUUGGUGGGGUAGUGGCUUACCAAGGCUUUGACGGGUAGCCGGCCUGAGAGGGUGACCGGCCACAUUGGGACUGAGAUACGGCCCAGACUCCUACGGGAGGCAGAAGUGGGGAAUAUUGCACAAUGGGUGGAAGCCUGAUGCAGCAACGCCGUGUGCGGGAUGACGGCCUGCGGGUUGUAAACCGCUUUCGCCUGUGACGAAGCGUGAGUGACGGUAAUGGGUAAAGAAGCACCGGCUAACUACGUG